Molecule: long non-coding RNA, 468 nt
Organism: Zea mays
Lineage: Eukaryota; Viridiplantae; Streptophyta; Magnoliopsida; Poales; Poaceae
Exons: 3
Source: RefSeq, a predicted model, not a curated record
GUUCGGCUGCUUGCCAAUAAAGAGUCACGUAGGCCGAAGGAAGAAAUCAUAAAUAAUAGAAAGCAUUAUAUGGACAUGCGUUUUUGGAGAAUGGUUGGUUUUGGUAAACUUCCAAAGUACCAUCAGGAUCCUACAACAGAAGAGUUAGCCAAAACACUCGAUUGUUGGCCAUCAAUGAAUUAUUACAUCACGGGUUGUAGAUAUGUUCUCAUGCCAUGGAAAUUCAAUGGAUGUUACGCCCUCUUCGUAAUAGAUCAUGUUAAAAAGCAUGUGACUUUUAUCGACUUUACACCGACUCAAGAUUGGUGUAAACACAUGCCAUACAAGAGGUUCGCGGAAGCGAUUAUCAUGACCUCAAAAAAAUAUAAGAUUGCUUACAGCAAGAAACGUUCUGGAUGGGCGGAGGAUAUCUUUAAGUGGGAACAUACAAUUCAGACUGGUGUUCCAAUUGACUUAAGAGGGUAUUUU